RNAcentral lists this ribosomal RNA (507 nucleotides) under uncultured bacterium. Its description in RNAcentral is "bacterial SSU rRNA". It matches the Rfam family "Bacterial small subunit ribosomal RNA", at positions 28 to 526 of the family's 1533-position model. The record is from RNAcentral.
GAUGAACGCUAGCGGCAGGCUUAACACAUGCAAGUCGAGGGGUAACAGGGGAGAGCUUGCUUUCCCGCUGACGACCGGCGAACGGGUGCGUAACACGUAUGCAACCUACCCUUCACAGGAGGACAGCCCCGAGAAAUCGGGAUUAAUACUCCAUAACAUCACGGAUUCGCAUGUUUCUGUGAUCAAAGUUCCGGCGGUGAAGGAUGGGCAUGCGGCCUAUUAGUUUGUUGGUGAGGUAACGGCUCACCAAGACUACGAUAGGUAGGGGGUCUGAGAGGAUGAUCCCCCACACUGGUACUGAGACACGGACCAGACUCCUACGGGAGGCAGCAGUGAGGAAUAUUGGUCAAUGGACGAAAGUCUGAACCAGCCAUGCCGCGUGCAGGAAGACUGCCCUACGGGUUGUAAACUGCUUUUAUGUGGGAAUAAACCCCUGGAUUCUUCCGGGGCUGAAGGUACCACACGAAUAAGGAUCGGCUAACUCCGUGCCAGCCGCCGCCGUAACAC